Molecule: ribosomal RNA, 758 nt
Filed under: uncultured bacterium
Lineage: Bacteria
Description: bacterial SSU rRNA
Rfam family: Bacterial small subunit ribosomal RNA
Source: RNAcentral
AACGCGAAAUCUCCCUUCGGGGAGAAAGUAGAGUGGCGCACGGGUGAGUAACACGUAGGUAAUUUGCCUUUGGGUGGGGAAUAACUCAGGGAAACUUGAGCUAAUACCGCAUAAUGCAGCGGCUCGACAUCGAGACAGUUGUUAAAGCGGGGGAUCGCAAGACCUCGCGCCUAAAGAGAAGCCUGCGGCAGAUUAGCUAGUUGGUAGGGUAAUGGCCUACCAAGGCAACGAUCUGUAACCGGCCUGAGAGGGCGGUCGGUCACACUGACACUGACAUACGGGUCAGACUCCUACGGGAGGCAGCAGUCGGGAAUUUUGGGCAAUGGGCGAAAGCCUGACCCAGCAACGCCGCGUGAAGGAUGAAAUCCCUCGGGAUGUAAACUUCGUAAGAACAGGAAGAAUAAGUGGGGGACAAUACCCCCCAUGAUGACGGUACUGUUUGUAAGCUCCGGCUAACUCCGUGCCAGCAGCCGCGGUAAUACGGGGGGAGCAAGCGUUGUUCGGAUUUACUGGGCGUAAAGGGCGCGUAGGCGGCCACGACAAGUCACUUGUGAAAUCUCCGGGCUUAACCCGGAACGGUCAAGUGAUACUGUCGGGCUAGAGUGCAGAAGGGGCAACUGGAAUUCUCGGUGUAGCGGUGAAAUGCGUAGAUAUCGAGAGGAACACCUGCGGCGAAGGCGGGUUGCUGGGCUGACACUGACGCUGAGGCGCGAAAGCCAGGGGAGCGAACGGGAUUAGAUACCCCGGUAGUCCUAGCC